Molecule: long non-coding RNA, 1464 nt
Organism: Poecile atricapillus (Black-capped chickadee)
Lineage: Eukaryota; Metazoa; Chordata; Aves; Passeriformes; Paridae
Exons: 3
Source: RefSeq, a predicted model, not a curated record
GGGGAGGGGUAGGAGAUACAGGGGUUGCGGGGGUACGGGGGGCUCGUCACGCGUUGUGUAUUGGCAGCACGCAUUUCUACGAGUGCUCUGCAGGCUGGGAGGAGCUUAGCGGCCGCCACAGUUCGGCGAGAGAUGUUAUUAAAAAGCUUAUUAACAACUGUGUCCCAAAAAUCUCUAGUAAAAAAUUCUGAGUGUUUUGCGUUUGGGAAAUUAACUAGAGUCCAGGUUAGGAGGGUUUUUAGUUCUCGUUUAGGCAAUUUACUUUGGCCGGCUUUUAGUGAGAAUUUUAGUUGCUUAUACAGCUUUUUUUCUGGGGUUGAAUAGUUUUGACCCGUGAUAGACUGGUUUGUGACUCACCUCUUAUUUUAAUGAUGUCGGCUCGUCUCUCAGAGCUCGGGUGAUGGGUGCUGGCCGGGCACCUCCCGUCCGUUCUCGGGUGUCACUUAGUAAUACUCGCACAUAACCACGCUGCAGAGUCGUCUAAAAACUACAGUGCGGACGAUGCAGCGGAAAAACUUUUAGAGAGUUCGGGGUGUAGAUGCUGUGACAGCGUCUGCCCCUCGCUCGACCCCAUAGAGGCUUUGCCCACCUAGCCCAGGUGAGACGUCGCCUCGCAACGCCCCCCUGAGCUCGGGGGCUCCACGGAAACCGGGGGUUCAGACGCUGCUUGGCAACCUUCACCCCGAAGAAACCACGCAGGGGAUGUCCCGUGUAGCACAGAAGAGGCGUGGCUUUGCCACCCUUCUCAAUGCCACGGGGCCCUGCGGAAACCAGGGGUGCGGACGCCGUUCGGAACGUGCGCCCCGAAAAAGCCACGCGGCGGAUAGCUCUAGAGCUCCGGAGCCGACGCUGCUGAGCGACGGCCGGCCGGUGCCCGAGGGUGCCGCGGAACAGUGGAAAGAGAGUUACGGUGUUAUGGUGAUCAGCCGCAUAAACUGCACUCUAGACGGCCUUAAAGGGUGAAAAAACCUGUCUUCGUAGUUGCCAGUGAUGAUGGAGCAGUGUCUCACCGAUGGAGGAGUCGUGGGAUGGCUCGUAAACGUGCGGGCGCCAGGGACGCUUUGGAGGGACUAGGAAGAUGAAAUCAAAAGGAAAAAAGGAGAAAGAUUCCCCCUGCAAAUCCAGAUCCCCCCUGCAAAUCCAUGCACCGGUUCAUCUGCUCGGCUGCUGCUGCUUGACGGAGGUUUAAAGCAGAAGUAACUUCCUAGAGAAGAACCUGGAAACUCAUCAGCUGCAGAGACAAACGGACGGCCCAAAGAGCAGAAGAGCGAGCACGCAGAUGUGAACCGUAUCGAGACCGCAGUUGACGGCUGAACGGCUUGGAUCCCACGUGCGAGAGCAAUGGACUUUGGGUUUCGUGUGAAAAAGUGGGAAAAUGAAUAUUGUAAAGCCUCAUUUGUUAAAACAUGAGUGAAGGAAAAAUAACCCUUCUUGAAAAGUAAUCCAAUAAAAGAUUUAGGUUGA